UACGGAGGAUCCAAGCGUUAUCCGGAAUCAUUGGGUUUAAAGGGUCCGUAGGCGGUUUUAUAAGUCAGUGGUGAAAUCCGGUAGCUCAACUAUCGAACGGCCAUUGAUACUGUAGAACUUGAAUUAUUGUGAAGUAACUAGAAUAUGUAGUGUAGCGGUGAAAUGCUUAGAUAUUACAUGGAAUACCAAUUGCGAAGGCAGGUUACUAACAAUACAUUGACGCUGAUGGACGAAAGCGUGGGGAGCGAACAGG
Molecule: ribosomal RNA, 253 nt
Filed under: uncultured bacterium
Lineage: Bacteria
Description: partial 16S ribosomal RNA
Rfam family: Bacterial small subunit ribosomal RNA
Source: RNAcentral